CCUCUUUUAUUUUUUAUGGGAUUCUCUUGCGUCUUUUAUUUUUUGUAAAGUCCGGAGACUCAUCUUAACUUGUGAAGGAAUCAUAGCUCCCAUCAUCCUUUUCUCACAUGGGACAAUGCUCUAAUAAUGCAAAUCAUCAUACUUUUAUUUACUUACAACUCGAUAUCUAGAACAAAGUAUGACUCUAUAAGAAAUAUGGAAAUGAUGGUGCGUGUCAUAAAAACGGGAUGGAGGUGUUGCAUGGCAAUAUAUCUCGGAAUGGCUAUGAAAAUGCCAUAAUAGGUAGUUAUGGUGGCUGUUUUGAGGAAAAUAUAUGGUG
Molecule: long non-coding RNA, 319 nt
Filed under: Hordeum vulgare
Lineage: Eukaryota; Viridiplantae; Streptophyta; Magnoliopsida; Poales; Poaceae
Description: long non-coding RNA (HVUL_LNC012440)
Source: RNAcentral